This is a non-coding RNA of Pocillopora verrucosa, 524 nucleotides long. NCBI's taxonomy places the organism in Eukaryota, Metazoa, Cnidaria, Anthozoa, Scleractinia, Pocilloporidae. The record is from RefSeq and is a predicted model, not a curated record.
GACGAAAUUCUCGUAGCUUGGCGCGCUUAUGGUAUGGGAAAGGGAAAAGAGAUCCCAUUGGAAACAACAUCAGAAGAAUAUGGCGGUUCUGAAGAACAUGUCCGGUCAUAAGAUGUAAAAAGCAAACGUUUCAUCUGUUCGCGCAGCAAAGUGGACCAAAGGGGCACUCUUCACAGGCUGUGCAGAGUGAAGUAUUGAAGGAUACAAGAGAGGCUACAUCCGGCGAAGUAGAGGUAAAAGAAGGAUGGGCGCUAAAGCCGAGCAAAAAAGCAUAUCGCUUUAACCAAAACCAGAGGGAUUAUCUAAAUGCGAAGUUUACAAUUGGUCAAACCAGCGGCAGAAAACUGGACGGUGAUAUCGUAUCACGUGAAAUGAGACGUGCACAAGGACCUGAUGGUGUUCGUUUGUUCAAAGUAUCCGAGUUUCUUACCCCGCAGCAGUGCACUUCAUAUUUCUCACGUCUUGCAGCGAAGGUCCGACGGCAAACAUCCGACGAUGCUGAAAUCCAAGCUGUAGUAGAAGAG